Molecule: ribosomal RNA, 301 nt
Filed under: uncultured bacterium
Lineage: Bacteria
Description: partial 16S ribosomal RNA
Rfam family: Bacterial small subunit ribosomal RNA
Source: RNAcentral
CAGUAGCCACGGUAAUACGAAGGGGGCUAGCGUUGCUCGGAAUCACUGGGCGUAAAGGGUGCGUAGGCGGGUCUUUAAGUCAGGGGUGAAAUCCUGGAGCUCAACUCCAGAACUGCCUUUGAUACUGAAGAUCUUGAGUUCGGGAGAGGUGAGUGGAACUGCGAGUGUAGAGGUGAAAUUCGUAGAUAUUCGCAAGAACACCAGUGGCGAAGGCGGCUCACUGGCCCGAUACUGACGCUGAGGAGCGAAAGCGUGGGGAGCGAACAGGAUUAGAUACCCCCGUAGUCCCUGUCUCUUAUAC